CCAUGAUUCAGCGGCGGACGGGUGAGUAAUGCCUAGGAAUCUGCCUGGUAGUGGGGGACAACGUUUCGAAAGGAACGCUAAUACCGCAUACGUCCUACGGGAGAAAGUGGGGGAUCUUCGGACCUCACGCUAUCAGAUGAGCCUAGGUCGGAUUAGCUAGUUGGUGAGGUAAAGGCUCACCAAGGCGACGAUCCGUAACUGGUCUGAGAGGAUGAUCAGUCACACUGGAACUGAGACACGGUCCAGACUCCUACGGGAGGCAGCAGUGGGGAAUAUUGGACAAUGGGCGAAAGCCUGAUCCAGCCAUGCCGCGUGUGUGAAGAAGGUCUUCGGAUUGUAAAGCACUUUAAGUUGGGAGGAAGGGCAGUAAGUUAAUACCUUGCUGUUUUGACGUUACCAACAGAAUAAGCACCGGCUAACUUCGUGCCAGCAGCCGCGGUAAUACGAAGGGUGCAAGCGUUAAUCGGAAUUACUGGGCGUAAAGCGCGCGUAGGUGGUUCGUUAAUUUGGAUGUGAAAGCCCCGGGCUCAACCUGGGAACUGCAUCCAAAACUGGCGAGCUAGAGUAUGGCAGAGGGUGGUGGAAUUUCCUGUGUAGCGGUGAAAUGCUUUUUAUAGGAAGGAACAUUUUUGGCAAAGGCGACCACCUGG
RNAcentral lists this ribosomal RNA (650 nucleotides) under Pseudomonas sp. AE2B 120. RNAcentral describes it as "bacterial SSU rRNA". It matches the Rfam family "Bacterial small subunit ribosomal RNA", at positions 85 to 732 of the family's 1533-position model. Lineage: Bacteria; Pseudomonadati; Pseudomonadota; Gammaproteobacteria; Pseudomonadales; Pseudomonadaceae. The record is from RNAcentral.